RNAcentral lists this microRNA (24 nucleotides) under Cynara cardunculus (cardoon). RNAcentral's name for it is "cca-miR6117". Lineage: Eukaryota; Viridiplantae; Streptophyta; Magnoliopsida; Asterales; Asteraceae. The record is from miRBase by way of RNAcentral.
GGUUAGGUUGAUCGGGUUGAAGAC